AUAGCCCUAAACCAUCAGGACUUGGGGUUUGCCCUGUACGGGGCAAGUCCCGUAGCUAACGCGUUAAGUCCUGCGCCUGGGGAGUACGGUCGCAAGACUGAAACUCAAAGGAAUUGACGGGGGCCCGCACAAGCGGUGGAACAUGUGGUUCAAUUCGACGCAACGCGAAGAACCUUACCUGGGCUUGAACCGCACAGGACCAUCUUUGGAAACAGAGACUUCCCGCAAGGGACCUGUGUAGAGGUGCUGCAUGGCUGUCGUCAGCUCGUGCCGUGAGGUGUUGGGUUAAGUCCCGCAACGAGCGCAACCCUUACUCUUAGUUGCCACCCGCAAGGGGGAACUCUAAGAGGACUGCUCCGGAUAACGGAGAGGAAGGUGGGGAUGAGGUCAAGUCAGCAUGGCCUUUAUGUCCAGGGCUACACACGUGUUACAAUGCGCGCCACAAAGCGUUGCAAACCCGCGAGGGGGAGCUAAUCGCAAAAAAGCGCGCUCAGUUCGGAUUGCAGUCUGCAACUCGACUGCAUGAAGCCGGAAUCGCUAGUAAUGGCGCAUCAGAACGGCGCCGUGAAUACGUUCCCGGGCCUUGCACUCACCGCCCGUCGGACCAGUACGA
This 613-nucleotide ribosomal RNA is filed under the name uncultured bacterium. RNAcentral describes it as "bacterial SSU rRNA". It matches the Rfam family "Bacterial small subunit ribosomal RNA", at positions 796 to 1410 of the family's 1533-position model. The record is from RNAcentral.